AUGGCCUGGCCAUGGAUGGACCUUCCCCUGCUGCCACGCUCGUCCAAGGAAAGAUGGCCGCCGCUAUACAUUGCCGGAGGAGCACAUUCCUGCAGAGCUCAUGGGACGCACCCCUUCAAGGGGCUUGCUGCUGACCACGAGGGUCAACUUGGAGCUCCUCUCUGCCCCUGCAGGCGAUUAACCAUCUUCCCGUGGCAGUCACCGCCGCUCCAGCAGGGGCUUGCUGACCACAAGGAUCAACUUGGUGCCUGCUUUGGAAUUUCCCAUGAGAGAGAGGCAAUUCUGACCAUGCAUCUGCAGCAGCGGCUACCUUGCCACACACAAACCCAGCCGUAA
This 336-nucleotide ribosomal RNA is filed under the name Triticum aestivum (bread wheat). RNAcentral describes it as "partial small subunit ribosomal RNA". Lineage: Eukaryota; Viridiplantae; Streptophyta; Magnoliopsida; Poales; Poaceae. The record is from RNAcentral.